AGAGUCCACUACGAUGAAGGCAUAGCGAGCCACAUCGCCCCCGAGCCGUGCGCGGGCAUCCGUGAGGAGGUCAGCGAAGCGUCGGCAGGGGAAUGUGCAGGCCAGCCAUGGAGCCACGAAAUGGUUUAUAUCCCGGAUGCCGACGCGCUCCAGUACGUGGAAGGCAAUACGAGCGGGCGCGACAUCGCGAGUGCCUGCCGAUCCGGCGUGGUCGUAGAACC
This is a non-coding RNA of Burkholderia sp., 221 nucleotides long. Lineage: Bacteria; Pseudomonadati; Pseudomonadota; Betaproteobacteria; Burkholderiales; Burkholderiaceae. The record is from Rfam.